AAAUGCCCAACCGCAUUUCACAGCCACAGGAGAAAGAAAUCAAGAAUCAACCUCCAUCAGGUUAUCCAAAAGAAAAUCAAAGUGGCACUGGAAAGAAAUGCUGCCCUCGUUUUAAAAAGAAAGGGGAGAGGGGAUUCAUUGAGGGAUGCAUCUUUGCUUUGUGUUGCUGUUGGCUUUGCGAAGAAUGCUUCUAAUGGAACUGAUCAUGGAAGUUUGUAAU
Molecule: long non-coding RNA, 220 nt
Organism: Telopea speciosissima
Lineage: Eukaryota; Viridiplantae; Streptophyta; Magnoliopsida; Proteales; Proteaceae
Exons: 3
Source: RefSeq, a predicted model, not a curated record